GCCUACGGGGGGCAGCAGUGGGGAAUAUUGGGCAAUGGGCGCAAGCCUUACCCAGCAACGCCGCGUGAAGGAAGAAGGCUUUCGGGUUGUAAACUUCUUUUAUUCGGGACGAAGAAAGUGACGGUACCGAAUGAAUAAGCCACGGCUAACUACGUGCCAGCAGCCGCGGUAAUACGUAGGUGGCAAGCGUUAUCCGGAUUUAUUGGGUGUAAAGGGCGUGUAGGCGGGAAUGCAAGUCAG
This 240-nucleotide ribosomal RNA is filed under the name uncultured bacterium. Its description in RNAcentral is "partial 16S ribosomal RNA". It matches the Rfam family "Bacterial small subunit ribosomal RNA", at positions 337 to 591 of the family's 1533-position model. The record is from RNAcentral.